Molecule: ribosomal RNA, 373 nt
Filed under: uncultured organism
Description: partial 16S ribosomal RNA
Rfam family: Bacterial small subunit ribosomal RNA
Source: RNAcentral
GUAGGUGGCAAGCGUUGUCCGGAAUUAUUGGGCGUAAAGCGCACGCAGGCGGUCCUUUAAGUCUGAUGUGAAAGCCCACGGCUCAACCGUGGAGGGUCAUUGGAAACUGGGGGACUUGAGUACAGAAGAGGAAAGCGGAAUUCCACGUGUAGCGGUGAAAUGCGUAGAGAUGUGGAGGAACACCAGUGGCGAAGGCGGCUUUCUGGUCUGUAACUGACGCUGAGGCGCGAAAGCGUGGGGAGCAAACAGGGAUUAGAUACCCUGGUAGUCCACGCCGUAAACGAUGAGUGCUAAGUGUUAGGGGGUUUCCCGCCCCUUAGUGCUGCAGCUAACGCAUUAAGCACUCCGCCUGGGGAGUACGGCCGCAAGGCUG